Molecule: long non-coding RNA, 1035 nt
Filed under: Gossypium barbadense (sea-island cotton)
Lineage: Eukaryota; Viridiplantae; Streptophyta; Magnoliopsida; Malvales; Malvaceae
Description: long non-coding RNA (GBAR_LNC016881)
Source: RNAcentral
GUGGGUCGGAAGCCCAUUCGAUCGCACCCGGCCCAAAUGGUAUUGCCUCGAGAUGGAAACCUCGUUUGGUUUGCAGAUGCUUCGGCUGCUUCCUUGUUCCUACGUGCCAAUGAACCUUACGCCACGUCAGCUACCGACUCCUAACCUCAACUGUUAUUUGCUCACCAAAAAUACACCCUUAAGCCAUAAUUUGGAAAUGUUAAGCAUUUAGCACUUAUUAGUUAUUAACAUCAACAUGAUGUUGAUAAAAAUAUUUUUCUGAUUAACACUUUUAUCUUUAUUUUAAGUUAAUAUAUAAUAUUAAGAUAAGUUGUCAAAAUUUUUUACUUUUUUUAAGGUAAAACAUAUUAAUAAAAACUAUAAACAAUAAUAUAUAUAAGCGAUAAUUAAGACACUACACACUAAUGCACACAAACGCCGUGUCUUUGAUUAAACCGUUGAAAAUUGUAUCUUAGCUACUCUAUUGUCAAACCAUCUAAUGAUGAACUCUAGUCAACUAAGUAGCCACUACCGAAAGCUCAAGAGAAAUAUCACAUCAGUAACGCACAAAAGACCAAGUCUUAAAUAGACUAUCUUUAUCAUCUCAUAUUCUAAUUUUACAAACAACGUCAUUAUGUUCUAUUAUGAUAAAGCCCUCUAAGAAUUGUUUCUCAUAGAUCUAGCAACACUUUUACCUAGACAAAUUUCAUAUAUACGUUAGAACAUAUCUGCAAAUUAAAAACUAAAACUAAAAUCAUUGGUGCUUCCACAAAAAAACAGAAUGAACAAAACAAAAAUCACAAAAAUAUGAACUAAAAUUAAAAAUAAAAGAAAAAUAAUAAAAUAUUGUCGAAGAAAUCAUACCCAACAACCAACCUAAAGAUUAACACCAUCACCGAUAAAGCAAAGAUUUGAUUUGAAAAUGUUGAGCCACUAAGGUUUUUGUUAUGGAAAGUGAAGUCGUUACUAUGGGGGAUUGGCUUCAAAGUAUAGACCAAGCGAAGGGAGGGGAGGCAAGGGUAAGAUGAGAGUAUGAGCGGAAGGGGAUAUAGACUC